RNAcentral lists this ribosomal RNA (529 nucleotides) under uncultured microorganism. Its description in RNAcentral is "bacterial SSU rRNA". It matches the Rfam family "Bacterial small subunit ribosomal RNA", at positions 9 to 521 of the family's 1533-position model. The record is from RNAcentral.
GAGUUUGAUCGUGGCUCAGGAUGAACGCUGGCGGCGUGCCUAAUACAUGCAAGUCGAACGAACAGAUAAGGAGCUUGCUCCUUUGACGUUAGCGGCGGACGGGUGAGUAACACGUGGGUAACCUACCUAUAAGACUGGAAUAACUCCGGGAAACCGGGGCUAAUGCCGGAUAACAUGUUGAACCGCAUGGUUCUACAGUGAAAGACGGUCUUGCUGUCACUUAUAGAUGGACCCGCGCCGUAUUAGCUAGUUGGUGGGGUAACGGCCUACCAAGGCGACGAUACGUAGCCGACCUGAGAGGGUGAUCGGCCACACUGGAACUGAGACACGGUCCAGACUCCUACGGGAGGCAGCAGUAGGGAAUCUUCCGCAAUGGGCGAAAGCCUGACGGAGCAACGCCGCGUGAGUGAUGAAGGUCUUCGGAUCGUAAAGCUCUGUUGUUAGGGAAGACAAAUGUGUAAGUAACUGUGCAUAUCUUGACGGUACCUAACCAGAAAGCCACGGCUAACUACGUGCCAGCAGCCGCCGU